This 253-nucleotide ribosomal RNA is filed under the name uncultured bacterium. RNAcentral's name for it is "partial 16S ribosomal RNA". It matches the Rfam family "Bacterial small subunit ribosomal RNA", at positions 524 to 776 of the family's 1533-position model. The record is from RNAcentral.
UACAGAGGGGGCAAGCGUUAUUCGGAAUUAUUGGGCGUAAAGGGCGCGUAGGCGGCUUUGCAAGUGACGGGUGAAAUCCCUCGGCUUAACCGGGGAACUGCCUGUCAAACUGCAUGGCUUGAGACCGGGAGAGGUGAGUGGAAUUCCCAGUGUAGCGGUGAAAUGCGUAGAUAUUGGGAGGAACACCAGUGGCGAAGGCGGCUCACUGGACCGGUACUGACGCUGAGGUGCGAAAGCGUGGGGAGCAAACAGG